UACGUAGGGUGCAAGCGUUGUCCGGAAUUAUUGGGCGUAAAGAGCUCGUAGGCGGAUUGUCGCGUCGAAUGUGAAAACCCGGGGCUCAACCCCGGGCCUGCAUUCGAUACGGGCAGACUAGAGUUCGGCAGGGGAGACUGGAAUUCCUGGUGUAGCGGUGAAAUGCGUAGAUAUCGAGAGGAACACCUGCGGCGAAGGCGGGUUGCUGGGCCGACACUGACGCUGAUGCGCGAAAGCCAGGGGAGCGAACGGG
This 253-nucleotide ribosomal RNA is filed under the name uncultured bacterium. Its description in RNAcentral is "partial 16S ribosomal RNA". It matches the Rfam family "Bacterial small subunit ribosomal RNA", at positions 524 to 776 of the family's 1533-position model. The record is from RNAcentral.